CCUACGGGUGGCAGCAGUAGGGAAUAUUGCUCAAUGGGGGAAACCCUGAAGCAGCAACGCCGCGUGGAGGAUGAAGGUUUUCGGAUUGUAAACUCCUUUUGUUAGAGAAGAUAAUGACGGUAUCUAACGAAUAAGCACUGGCUAACUCCGUGCCAGCAGCCGCGGUAAUACGGAGGGUGCAAGCGUUAUCCGGAAUCACUGGGCGUAAAGGGCGCGUAGGCGGGUUAGCAAGUCAGUUGUGAAAUCCUAUGGCUUAACCGUAGAACUGCAUUUGAAACUGUUAGUCUAGAGUAUAGGAGAGGUAGGUGGAAUUCGUGGUGUAGCGGUAAAAUGCGCAGAGAUCAAGAAGAAUACUGAUUGCGAAGGCAGCCUACUAGAACGUAACUGACACUGAUGCGCGAAAGCGUGGGUAGCAAACAGGAUUAGAUACCCCAGUAGUC
Molecule: ribosomal RNA, 440 nt
Filed under: uncultured bacterium
Lineage: Bacteria
Description: partial 16S ribosomal RNA
Rfam family: Bacterial small subunit ribosomal RNA
Source: RNAcentral